Beta vulgaris subsp. vulgaris (sugar beet) is the source of this 1923-nucleotide RNA transcript. RefSeq lists it as uncharacterized. NCBI's taxonomy places the organism in Eukaryota, Viridiplantae, Streptophyta, Magnoliopsida, Caryophyllales, Amaranthaceae. The record is from RefSeq and is a predicted model, not a curated record. The transcript is spliced from 6 exons.
UAUAUUUCUCACAAGAGAGAGGAGUCCCAUCUUACUAUCUUAGACUAAAAGUUUAUCUAGUACAAAAACAACUAUAAAAUUCACAAUUCCUUUAUUCUGCUUCUCCUUAAUUUUACGAAGAUGCAGGCAACUACACUGGUAGCUGAAGCAGUGUGGAAGAGCAUUGAGUCAACUCAUUCAGUGACUGAUGAUCAACUGGGCAUAUUGCAAUUUUUGUUUGGGAAAAAUCUUGAGCGAGCAACCAGAAUAGUUGAUCAACGAGGUGUCAAGAAACUCUGUGGAGAACCAAGUGGGCAUUCCAUUUUUCAGGUUGUUGGAGAAUCUCGGAAGAAAGAAGAAUACUUAUGUUUUGCAGAAAACUAUUGUGGGUGCUACUCAUUCUUUUAUGAUGUAGUGAAUAGAGGAGAGCAGCAUUGUUGCAAGCACCAGCUCGCUGCGAGAUUGGCUGCAUCACUAGGAGCAUUUAUACAAGUGGAUUUGCCUGACGAGGAGCUCGCAAUAUUGCUCGCACAGCUGUAACCAGUAACCAGCAAUCUAGCAUGACUUAUGCAGUUGGAGGGAGACUACUUUGCUGAUCCUUGGCUGCUACUGAUAGCUGAAAACAGUUCUAAUAAUACCCUGGUGUUUCAGAACGAUACCAUGAUUCGAUUUUCAUGACCAUUUCCGAAAACCUAUAUUGUACACCGGCACCCCGAUGUAUAGUACACAAGGUUAUAUUUUUGCUCACUCCUCAAUUUUUGCUCAUUUAGAGCUCUACAAAUGAGCAAUGAGCAAUGAGCAAAGAAAUAGACUUGGGUGUACCAUACACUCGGGUGUAUAAUAUAAAGUGCAACCAUUUCCAUGUAUGCUUUCCGAAUAUUUUACAAUUUACUAAGCUGAAGCGAAUGACAAAGUGAGUCUUUUCGUAUAGAGCAAAUAUAAAGACUGUCUUGUUAAGUGACAAAUCAAAAGCUAGUGCAAAUUGUGAAGAUUUUUUAUUAGUUAAGUGGAAAACUUAAACUGCCAUGUCUGGCAAACAGUUGAUUUAAUUAAUUUUGACAAACAUGGGGAUCAAAGUUGGUAAUUUACUAAAGCGAGGGACAAACAUCUAUAAAUAUUGUUCAGGAAGAAUAAUUAGAAUACUUAGCUUGCAACUGAAAUUCAUCCGAAUGAUACAUAUAUCCACAAUAUCUUGGCCAAUUGUUCCACCGUCAACAUCAAAUCAAGGCAACUAGAUGUUAUUCUAUUCCCUCUUGAUCAAGUAAUUUAACAUAAAUCAAUCUCAAUUAAGUCUCUUGCUUCACUUGCUUGUAUGAUCUCUACAACCUGUUGAACGUCAACCAAGCUUUUCUCCUUUCUAAGCACCAUCAGUCAUUAAGAUUCAUCCAAAAAUAACGUGAUCGUCAGCUUUACAAUACUCGAAUUAGGCAAUUAUAGUUCUAAGUCUCACUAGAAUCCCAUCCACUAACUUUAUAAACAAACCCAAAACUAGGCAAUUCCCACAGUUCCAGAGAGGCUUGUUUUAGCCACAUAGUAGAGCUUAUUCCAAGGCACAGAUUUUGUGCUAAGACUAAUUUUGUAUAUCACAGUGAUUCAAAAAGUAAAGUCCCAUAGUGGUGGCUGCUGACAAAUUACAGGCCAGGAAAUGCAGUGUGUGCCUUGUGAACAGCAGCAUAUGAACAUUAUAUGAGUAUACAAUGUGAUUAAAAUUGCAUGUGUAACUGUUGAAGCUAUGAUAUAUAGCUCACACCACAUGUGAGUAUCCUACAUUGAUUAAACAAGAGAGAUGGGUUCAGCUUAUAAUGCAAAGGAGUUACUCCCCUUAUUGCCAUAUGGUUUUAAGGUGGAACCUCCUUUGUGUUGUGAAGUGGACUCUCUCUCCUUGUGAUGGGUGCGGCCCAGGCCCAUAUUUAACAUGGUAUCAGAGCCAAGCCCACAGAGGAU